RNAcentral lists this long non-coding RNA (593 nucleotides) under Mytilus galloprovincialis (Mediterranean mussel). Lineage: Eukaryota; Metazoa; Mollusca; Bivalvia; Mytilida; Mytilidae. The record is from RNAcentral.
UUAGCCAAUUCGAUUCAAUUAAAUCAUCUGGGAUUCCAAGAAUUUGAACUGGUUUGUACAGGUCCUGUUGUACAUAUUUUAAAAUUAGAACAAAUAACUCUGGCAUGUCUGGGUUGUCUGGUAUCAUGUGUUGAUCGCAAUUCUCGUACUUUAAAUAUCGAUUUCUCAUACCAUGGCUUGGGGUAUUGUACAUUGCUUAUCGUGCCGAGAUUUUCAAUUAAUGGUAUUUGGGGGUAUGAUGUAUUGAUUGGUAUUGACCUGUCUUGUUGCACAGCUGUUGAGCACAAAACCAUGCAACAAAAUAUUUCUUAAUAUUUUAGUAUGGGAACCCCAGGAACUUCGUCAGUUUCAAAACGAAAAACGGUAGAUGAAAGGAGUAACGAGGCUGAAAAUUCACCCCCCGAAAAUGCUAAAUACGACAUGGAAAAGCCGCGGAAAAAAAUUAAUAGUGUCCAGGACAGAAGGGCUGCCAAGUCUUUAGUCUUUAAACUUAGUUGUUUUUUUCUCUUUGAUCUUUACAAUUUGGCCAACAAAUCACGAAUUCACUUCCUGAAAAGUUGGCAGAACUGGGACACAAUGAUUCCCCUGGCAAG